UGAUAGCUAUGAAGCGUGAGGUUGCUACCAGUCGAGAGGCCCGGUAGGUUUUCCGUGGAGCGAAGGUCAUGUAGAAACUGACGACAA
RNAcentral lists this non-coding RNA (87 nucleotides) under human gut metagenome. RNAcentral's name for it is "S10-Clostridia ribosomal protein leader". It matches the Rfam family "S10-Clostridia ribosomal protein leader". The record is from RNAcentral. RNAcentral also lists the same sequence under 1 other name.